This 1486-nucleotide ribosomal RNA is filed under the name uncultured Bordetella sp. RNAcentral describes it as "partial 16S-23S ribosomal RNA intergenic spacer". It matches the Rfam family "Bacterial small subunit ribosomal RNA". Lineage: Bacteria; Pseudomonadati; Pseudomonadota; Betaproteobacteria; Burkholderiales; Alcaligenaceae. The record is from RNAcentral.
GUUCGAUCAUGGCCUAGAUUGAACGCUGGCGGGAUGCUUUACACAUGCAAGUCGAACGGCAGCACGGACUUCGGUCUGGUGGCGAGUGGCGAACGGGUGAGUAAUGUACCGGAACGUGCCUAGUAGCGGGGGAUAACUACGCGAAAGCGUAGCUAAUACCGCAUACGCCCCUUCGGGGAAAGCGGGGACCUCUUCGGGCCUCGCACUAUUAGGAGCGGCCAUUGAUAUUGGAUUAGCUAGUUGGUGGGGUAACGGCUCAACAAGGCGACGAUCCGUAGCUGGUUUGAGACGACCAGCCACACUGGGACUGAGACACGGCCCAGACUCCUACGGAGUAGCAGUGGGGAAUUUUGACAACGGGGAAACCCCAUCCAGCCAUCCUUGGCGUGUGCGAUGGAAGGCCUUCGGAAGUUGUAAAGCACUUUUGGCAGGAAAAGAAACGGCACGGACAAUACCCCGUGCAACUGACGGUACCUUGCAGAAUAAGCACCGGCUAACUACGCCAGCAGCCGCGGUAUUACGUAGGGUGCAAGCGUUAAUCGGAAUUACUGGGCGUAUGUGCGCAGGCGGUUCGGAAAAGAAAGAUGUGAAAUCCCAGAGCUUAACUUUGAAUCAGCAUUUUUAACUACCGAGCCAGGAGUGUGUCAGAGGGAGGUGGAAUUUCCAUGUGUAGCAGUGAAAUGCGUAGAUAUGCGGAGGAACACCGAUGGCGAAGGCAGCCUCCCUGGGAUAACACUGACGCUCAUGCACGAAAGCGUGGGGAGCAAACAGGAUUAGGAUAUUCCGGUAGUCCACGCCCUAAACGAUGUCAACUAGCUGUUGGGGCCUUCGGGCCUGGUAUGCAGAAAGCUAACGUUGCGAAGUUGACCGCCUGGGGAGUACGGUCGCAAGAUUAAAAUCAAGGAAUUGACGGGGACCGCACAAGCGGUGGAUGAUGGGAUUAAUCUGAUGCAACGCGAAAAACCUUAUCACCCUUUGAUGACAUGUCUGGAAUCCCGAAGAGAUUUGGGAGUGCUCGCAAGAGAACCGGAACACAGGUACAUGGCUGUCGUCAGUUUGCCGUGAGAUGCGUUAAGUCCCGCAACGAGCGCGGCAACCCUUGGGUUACAGUUGCUACGAAAGGGCACUCUAAUGAGACUGCCGUGACAAACCGGAGGAAGGUGGGGAUGACGUCAAGUCCAUGAAGCUCUUAUGGGUAGGGGCCUUCACACGUCAUACAAUGGUCGGGACAGAGGGUCGCCAACCCGCGAGGGGGAGCGAAUCCAGAAACCUGAUCGUAGUCCGGAUCGCAGUCUGCAACUCGACUGCGUGAAGUUUGAAUCGCUAGUAAUCGCAGAUCAGCAUGUCGCGGUGAAUACGUUCCUGGUCCAGCUAUUACACCGCCCGUCACACCAUGGAGUGGGGUUUAUCAGAAGUAGUUAGCCUAACCGUAAGGAGGGCGAUUACUACGGUAGGAUUCAUGACUGGGGUGAAGUCAACAAGGUAG